This 254-nucleotide ribosomal RNA is filed under the name uncultured bacterium. RNAcentral describes it as "partial 16S ribosomal RNA". It matches the Rfam family "Bacterial small subunit ribosomal RNA", at positions 524 to 776 of the family's 1533-position model. The record is from RNAcentral.
UACGAAGGGGGCUAGCGUUGCUCGGAAUCACUGGGCGUAAAGCGCACGUAGGCGGACUCUUAAGUCGGCGGUGAAAUCCUGGAGCUCAACUCCAGAACUGCCUCCGAUACUGGGAGCCUUCGAGUCCGGGAGAGGUGAGUGGAACUGCGAGUGUAGAGGUGAAAUUCGUAGAUAUUCGCAAGAACACCAGUGGCGAAGGCGGCUCACUGGCCCGGUACUGACGCUGAGGUGCGAAAGCGUGGGGAGCAAACAGG